UACGAGAGGUGCAAGCGUUGUCCGGAUUUAUUGGGCGUAAAGCGUUUCUAAAGGCGCUUUUGUAAGUUAUCUUUUAAAGACCAAGGCUCAACCUUGGGAAGGGAGGUAAUACUGCAAGAGUUGAAAUAUUUCGGGGUUACUGGAACUAUCGGUGUAGGGGUGAAAUCCGUUGAUAUCGAUAGGAACUCCAAGGGCGAAGGCAGGUAACUAGGAAUUUUUUGACGCUGAUGAACGAAAGCUAGGGGAGCGAAAGGG
RNAcentral lists this ribosomal RNA (255 nucleotides) under uncultured bacterium. RNAcentral's name for it is "partial 16S ribosomal RNA". It matches the Rfam family "Bacterial small subunit ribosomal RNA", at positions 524 to 776 of the family's 1533-position model. The record is from RNAcentral.